UACGGAGGGAGCUAGCGUUGUUCGGAAUUACUGGGCGUAAAGCGUACGUAGGCGGUUAUUCAAGUCAGAGGUGAAAGCCCGGGGCUCAACCCCGGAACGGCCUCCAAAACUGUCAGUCUUGAGUUCGAGAGAGGUGAGUGGAAUUCCGAGUGUAGAGGUGAAAUUCGUAGAUAUUCGGAGGAACACCAGUGGCGAAGGCGGCUCACUGGCUCGAUACUGACGCUGAGGUGCGAAAGCGUGGGGAGCAAACAGG
This 253-nucleotide ribosomal RNA is filed under the name uncultured bacterium. Its description in RNAcentral is "partial 16S ribosomal RNA". It matches the Rfam family "Bacterial small subunit ribosomal RNA", at positions 524 to 776 of the family's 1533-position model. The record is from RNAcentral.